This 96-nucleotide transfer RNA is filed under the name Nocardioides aquaticus. Its description in RNAcentral is "tRNA-Val". The record is from RNAcentral. Lineage: Bacteria; Bacillati; Actinomycetota; Actinomycetes; Propionibacteriales; Nocardioidaceae.
CUCCGCGUUGGAGGGGCUGGGGUUCUCGGCGCCGAGCACCUCGUCGGUGGACGAGUCGGCCUCGUUCGCUCCUGUGUUCGAAUCACUCAUGGAGCC